GGGAUGCUAAGUCAGGAAAGUACUUGCUUUGCAAGCAGGACGACCUGAGUUUGAUCCUCAGAGCCCA
This 67-nucleotide transfer RNA is filed under the name Mesocricetus auratus (golden hamster). It matches the Rfam family "tRNA". From Rfam's summary of the family: Transfer RNA (tRNA) molecules are approximately 80 nucleotides in length. The record is from Rfam by way of RNAcentral. Lineage: Eukaryota; Metazoa; Chordata; Mammalia; Rodentia; Cricetidae.